GAGACCGUGGCUCAAUGGUAGAGCGUUCGACUCAAAUACCAAAGCUCGUUGGUUCAAAUCCCAGGUUUUC
This is a non-coding RNA of Schistocephalus solidus, 70 nucleotides long. NCBI's taxonomy places the organism in Eukaryota, Metazoa, Platyhelminthes, Cestoda, Diphyllobothriidea, Diphyllobothriidae. The record is from Rfam.